RNAcentral lists this ribosomal RNA (468 nucleotides) under uncultured bacterium. RNAcentral describes it as "bacterial SSU rRNA". It matches the Rfam family "Bacterial small subunit ribosomal RNA", at positions 337 to 797 of the family's 1533-position model. The record is from RNAcentral.
UCCUACGGGAGGCAGCAGUGGGGAAUCUUGGACAAUGGGCGCAAGCCUGAUCCAGCAAUGCCGCGUGGGUGAAGACGGCCUGCGGGUUGUAAAGCCCUUUUCGCGGGGACGAAAGCCCUGGGUUGAACAGGCUCAGGGGAUGACGGUACCGGCGGAAGAAGCACCGGCCAACUCCGUGCCAGCAGCCGCGGUAAGACGGAGGGUGCGAGCGUUAAUCGGAAUUACUGGGCGUAAAGCGCACGUAGGCGGUCAUGUCAGUCCGUUGUGAAAGCCCCGGGCUUAACCUGGGAAUAGCAAGGGCGACGGCAUGACUGGAGUGUAACAGAGGACCGUGGAAUUCCCGGUGUAGCGGUGAAAUGCGUAGAGAUCGGGAAGAACACCGAUGGCGAAGGCAGCGGUCUGGGUUAACACUGACGCUGAGGGGCGACAGCGUGGGGAGCAAACAGGAUUAGAUACCCGCGUAGUCCC